AAUAUUGGUCAAUGGAGGCAACUCUGAACCAGCCAUGCCGCGUGCAGGAAGACGGCCCUACGGGUUGUAAACUGCUUUUAUACGGGAAUAAACCCUCCUACGUGUAGGAGGCUGAAUGUACUGUAAGAAUAAGGAUCGGCUAACUCCGUGCCAGCAGCCGCGGUAAUACGUAGGAUCCGAGCGUUAUCCGGAGUUAUUGGGUUUAAAGGGUGCGUAGGCGGCCUGUUAAGUCAGGGGUGAAAUUUUUCGGCUCAACCGGAAGCUUGCCUUUGAUACUGAUGGGCUUGAUUAUACUUGAGGUAGGCGGAAUGUGACAAGUAGCGGUGAAAUGCAUAGAUAUGUCACAGAACACCGAUUGCGAAGGCAGCUUACUAAGGUGUGAAUGACGCUGAGGCACGAAAGCGUGGGGAUC
Molecule: ribosomal RNA, 412 nt
Filed under: uncultured bacterium
Lineage: Bacteria
Description: bacterial SSU rRNA
Rfam family: Bacterial small subunit ribosomal RNA
Source: RNAcentral